AGAAUGUUUUAAAGGCUUUAAUAACAAGGAUAGAGUUUCUGUUGGUUAAAGGGUAGGCUAUGGUUUUCUUUGACAUUAGAUGGGAAGAUGCGAAAUUAAAGAUUUAGUAGUUAUAUGUAUAUAUGUAUCUACAUAUAUAUGGAUUUUUUGAAUUAUAUAUUUUUGGUGAAUAUGAUGCGCUUUUAUAGGAAGGGGUGCAAAAAAAUAUUGUAAAUUGUAUGUAAAAAAUUUUAAUAUGUAUAUUUCUUUGGUGUAUAUACCUUAAAAGGAAUAAUUUCUUUUUGUGUAUAGUGAAUCUUACGUGUAAAUAAAUGUGGAUAUAUGUCUUACUAAUAAUUAUUAAUGUUUAUGUUGUUGUAUUACGAUAAGAAUCUGUAAAAUUGUAUAAUUAGUGUAUGUGUGUGUUUUUUAUAUGUUAUGGUAACCAUGGGGCAAAGUAAUCAAUCAAUUCGUUUGGAGUAUAAUGAUUAAUAAGAUUUUUUCUGUGUUUCUUUGGGUAGUUGAAUUUUGAUUUUUUAAUCUUAAAUUGUAGUUGAAAUGGCAACAAUGUAAACAAAUACAAAGUUCUUUUAUUUCGUCAAUGCGUUUGUGUGGCCAAAUCGUAUCGGGUUUCAUGGCAAGGGCAUGGGAAGAGGAGGGGAAAAAAUAUUCAACGAGUCGUCGGCGGUUCCCGGAUUACGCUCUUAUUUAUACAAACAUAAAAGAACGUGCAGUAAAUUCUCUUUAUGCGGGGGAAACCCCCGAUUUUUCCAUGGAAGAAGAUGUGUAUUAGGAAAGUAUUUUCACACAUAAUAAAUCUGUACACAAAUAAAAUGCAACAUAACAACAUGGAUUGGACAAGCUUGUGCGAUUUUGAGUUGUUAUUUUCACCACAUCUCUCCGUAGUUUAAAAAAACUUAAAAAAUACAUAUUUAUAAUAAAAAGAUUAUGUUAUAAUAAGAAUAAUAAUAAAAGCUUAUAUUUCAAUUUUUUGCAUUGUCAAUAUUCAAAACUACAA
This is a long non-coding RNA of Drosophila eugracilis, 997 nucleotides long. RefSeq lists it as uncharacterized. NCBI's taxonomy places the organism in Eukaryota, Metazoa, Arthropoda, Insecta, Diptera, Drosophilidae. The record is from RefSeq and is a predicted model, not a curated record. The transcript has 2 exons.